CAGUAGCCACGGGAACACGGAGGGAGCUAGCGUUAUUCGGAAUUACUGGGCGUAAAGCGCACGUAGGCGGCUUUGUAAGUUAGAGGUGAAAGCCUGGAGCUCAACUCCAGAAUUGCCUUUAAGACUGCAUCGCUCGAAUCCAGGAGAGGUGAGUGGAAUUCCGAGUGUAGAGGUGAAAUUCGUAGAUAUUCGGAAGAACACCAGCGGCGAAAGCGGCUCACUGGACCAUAACUGACGCUGAGGCGCGAAAGCUAGGGGAGCAAACAGGAUUAGAUACCCGAGUAGUCCCUGUCUCUUAUAA
This 301-nucleotide ribosomal RNA is filed under the name uncultured bacterium. RNAcentral describes it as "partial 16S ribosomal RNA". It matches the Rfam family "Bacterial small subunit ribosomal RNA", at positions 509 to 809 of the family's 1533-position model. The record is from RNAcentral.